AUUGAACGCUGGCGGCAGGCCUAACACAUGCAAGUCGAGCGGUAGAGAGAAGCUUGCUUCUCUUGAGAGCGGCGGACGGGUGAGUAAUGCCUAGGAAUCUGCCUAGUGGUGGGGGAUAACGUCCGGAAACGGACGCUAAUACCGCAUACGUCCUACGGGAGAAAGCGGGGGACCUUCGGGCCUCGCGCCAUUAGAUGAGCCUAGGUCGGAUUAGCUAGUUGGUGAGGUAAUGGCUCACCAAGGCUACGAUCCGUAACUGGUCUGAGAGGAUGAUCAGUCACACUGGAACUGAGACACGGUCCAGACUCCUACGGGAGGCAGCAGUGGGGAAUAUUGGACAAUGGGCGAAAGCCUGAUCCAGCCAUGCCGCGUGUGUGAAGAAGGUCUUCGGAUUGUAAAGCACUUUAAGUUGGGAGGAAGGGUAGUAACUUAAUACGUUGCUAUUUUGACGUUACCGACAGAAUAAGCACCGGCUAACUUCGUGC
RNAcentral lists this ribosomal RNA (485 nucleotides) under uncultured bacterium. RNAcentral describes it as "bacterial SSU rRNA". It matches the Rfam family "Bacterial small subunit ribosomal RNA", at positions 30 to 508 of the family's 1533-position model. The record is from RNAcentral.